GACGAACGCUGGCGGCGUGCCUAAUACAUGCAAGUUGAGCGCUGAAGGUUGGUACUUGUACCAACUGGAUGAGCAGCGAACGGGUGAGUAACGCGUGGGGAAUCUGCCUUUGAGCGGGGGACAACAUUUGGAAACGAAUGCCAAUACCGCAUAAAAACUUUAAACACAAGUUUUAAGUUUGAAAGAUGCAAUUGCAUCACUCAAAGAUGAUCCCGCGUUGUAUUAGCUAGUUGGUGAGGUAAAGGCUCACCAAGGCGAUGAUACAUAGCCGACCUGAGAGGGUGAUCGGCCACAUUGGGACUGAGACACGGCCCAAACUCCUACGGGAGGCAGCAGUAGGGAAUCUUCGGCAAUGGACGAAAGUCUGACCGAGCAACGCCGCGGGAGUGAAGAAGGGUGUCGGAUCGUAAAACUCUGUUGGUAGAGAAGAACGUUGGUGAGAGUGGAAAGCUCAUCAAGUGACGGUAACUACCCAGAAAGGGACGGCUAACUACGUG
This 497-nucleotide ribosomal RNA is filed under the name uncultured bacterium. RNAcentral's name for it is "partial 16S ribosomal RNA". It matches the Rfam family "Bacterial small subunit ribosomal RNA", at positions 28 to 507 of the family's 1533-position model. The record is from RNAcentral.